RNAcentral lists this ribosomal RNA (414 nucleotides) under Nanoglomus plukenetiae. Its description in RNAcentral is "partial large subunit ribosomal RNA". The record is from RNAcentral. Lineage: Eukaryota; Fungi; Glomeromycota; Glomeromycetes; Glomerales; Glomeraceae.
AGAGUUAAACAGUACGUGAAAUUGUUGAAAGGGAAACGAUUGAAGCCAGUCGUACCGACGGAAAAUCAACUUUUUGGGUGCCUAUCGUGGGUGACGUUGAGCUUCACGGUCUUCGUUGCUUAUGUUGUUGGUGCCUUUGGGGUGUACUUUUUCGUAUGGUAGGUCAACAUCGAUUUUGAUCGUCAUAAAAUGAUCGGAGGAAUGUAGCUUCGAUUUCGAUCGGAGUGUUAUAGCCUUUGGUAGAUGUGACGAUUGGGAUCGAGGAUUGCAACGAAUACCCUUUGGGCUAUCCUUCUGACCUCUGAUGGUAGGCUUGGGUGUUGAAAGCUUGCUUAUAGCAUUCGAGUCGGCGGUCAAUAGGUUAGAACGCGAUUACAUUCGUUAAGGAUGUUGACGUAAUGGCUUUAAACGACC